UACGAAGGGGGCUAGCGUUGCUCGGAAUCACUGGGCGUAAAGGGUGCGUAGGCGGGUCUUUAAGUCAGGGGUGAAAUCCUGGAGCUCAACUCCAGAACUGCCUUUGAUACUGAAGAUCUUGAGUUCGGGAGAGGUGAGUGGAACUGCGAGUGUAGAGGUGAAAUUCGUAGAUAUUCGCAAGAACACCAGUGGCGAAGGCGGCUCACUGGCGCGGUACUGACGCUGAGGUGCGAAAGCGUGGGGAGCAAACAGG
This 253-nucleotide ribosomal RNA is filed under the name uncultured bacterium. RNAcentral describes it as "partial 16S ribosomal RNA". It matches the Rfam family "Bacterial small subunit ribosomal RNA", at positions 524 to 776 of the family's 1533-position model. The record is from RNAcentral.